This 474-nucleotide ribosomal RNA is filed under the name uncultured bacterium. Its description in RNAcentral is "bacterial SSU rRNA". It matches the Rfam family "Bacterial small subunit ribosomal RNA", at positions 28 to 507 of the family's 1533-position model. The record is from RNAcentral.
GACGAACGCUGGCGGCACGCUUAACACAUGCAAGUCGAACGAAGAUGUUUCACCGUAGCUUGCUACACCGAGACAUUUUAGUGGCGGACGGGUGAGUAACACGUGAGCAAUCUGCCUUUCAGAGGGGGAUACCAGUUGGAAACGACUGUUAAUACCGCAUAACAUAUCGAGAUCGCAUGAUUUUGAUAUCAAAGAUUUAUCGCUGAAAGAUGAGCUCGCGUCUGAUUAGAUAGUUGGUGAGGUAACGGCUCACCAAGUCGACGAUCAGUAGCCGGACUGAGAGGUUGGACGGCCACAUUGGGACUGAGACACGGCCCAGACUCCUACGGGAGGCAGCAGUGGGGAAUAUUGGGCAAUGGGGGAAACCCUGACCCAGCAACGCCGCGUGAAGGAAGAAGGCUUUCGGGUGUAAACUUCUUUUACCAGGGACGAGAAAGGACGGUACCUAAGGAGGAAGCCCCGGCUAACUAUGUG